Molecule: ribosomal RNA, 497 nt
Filed under: uncultured bacterium
Lineage: Bacteria
Description: partial 16S ribosomal RNA
Rfam family: Bacterial small subunit ribosomal RNA
Source: RNAcentral
GAUGAACGCUGGCGGCGUGCCUAAUACAUGCAAGUCGAGCGAACUGACGAGAACCUUGCUUCUCUGAUGUUAGCGGCGUACGGGUGACUAACACGUGGAUAACCUACCUAUAAGACUGGGAUAACUUCGGGAAACCGGAGCUAAUACCGGAUAAUAUUUUCAACCUUAUGGUUCAAAAAUGAAAGACGGUAUUGCUGUCACUUAUAGAUAGAUCCUCGCUGCAUUAGCUAGUUGUUACGGUAACGGCUUACCAAAGCAACGUUGCAUAGCCGACCUGAGAGGGGGAUCGGGCACCCCGGAACUGGUACACGGACAAGACCCAGACGGGAGGCAGCAGUAGCGAAUCUGAAGAUAUGGGCGAAAGCUUGACGGAGCAACGCCGAGUGAGUGAUGAAGGUCUCGGCAUCGUAAAACGCUGUUAUUAGGGAAGAACAUAUGUGUAAGCACCUGUGCACAUAGUGACGGUAACUAAUCAGAAAGGCACGGCUAAAUACGGG